Molecule: unclassified non-coding RNA, 850 nt
Filed under: Hevea brasiliensis (rubber tree)
Lineage: Eukaryota; Viridiplantae; Streptophyta; Magnoliopsida; Malpighiales; Euphorbiaceae
Source: RNAcentral
UUCUGAGAUAGCACACAAAUGUUGCUAUGACAUCUAGCUAGCCUUCUGACAUUUGCUUUGGAUGGGCCAAGUUACUUGGUUUUAUGGGUUAUAGGUUCUUGUUUGCAGCUUGAGAUGAUAAAUUGGGCUUAUUGGUUAUUAGGCCAUAAAAUCAAAUUUUAGGAACUUCAAUUAAUUUAAAUUGAUUGACCAAUAUUAUUUGAUGCAACUUGAUGGUUCAUCGGUUUUCAUUUUUCUAGGUCUUAAAACACAAGACAUGAUAUCUUUAUCAGUGGGCACUUGGUAACUCAGCGGGUUCAAGCUGAAUAGUGGGUUCAAGCUGAAUGCUAUUGUCAGUUGUUUAACAUAAGGUGUUUGCAUUGUAAUUGCUGUUUCCACGGGGCAUCACUUCUUGGUGCCUUUAUUUUUAUCUUUCACAUUUAGUGCAGGUGAAACACCCAUUUUCCUCUGGUGUUUAGUCGUGUAUGAUUAAUCACCUCUUUGUUGCCUGCUAUUCUAUUCGUUUCCAGCAUCCUCUCCUUUCUAUUCGUAUGCAUACUUGAGCACUCAAACUUUGAUAUUCAAUCUUGCCAUACAUAUCAAAUGUUUGGAGUGGCAAUACUCAAGUGACAGGUUGUGAAAUUGGUACUGCUGUGUAUUGCUUGUUCACCGACUGUAAUAGUAUUGUUGACUUGAAGUCUUAUUUUCUGUUUUGAAGUCUUGGGUUAACUUAUAUGGCUCGCUGUGUUGCUCCGUUGCCUUUACAAUGCAAAUAUAUGCGUGUGUUCUCCGAUAAUCCUUGACAGGUUGGAACCAGCUGUUCCGAUUCGUGGCUGGGGCCUGGGGGAGCCUGAACCGGACUGGGGAGGGG